AAAAUUAUCAGUUUUCUCUUUCAUUUCAUCUAAUGACAGAGCAGGCACUUGAAUAGGCGACACUUCCUUUUGUACUUCAGGUUUGACAAGGGCUGAUGCAUUUGUGCCUUUUGGGUGCCCUGUCCAACAAAGAUAGCCAUAGGAUGAUUAUCAUAGUUUAGUGCACAAUCCCGGAAAUGAUGUAAACACAACAUCAAACUUGAAUAACACGACAUUGGACCACAUUGGACAACAUCGGGCAGUUCAUGGCAACAACAAAGAACAGACCAAACUCAGCUUAAUUAUUAAGAGCAAACACAUAGCACCAGGCCCAAAACUACGAACUAGACCAAAUAUCUCUAAUCAUCAGUAAAUUGACAUUAGCAGACAAAGGUAUACAAAUUUUACACUAAAAAAUAUCUAUGGGAGAGCUAAAAAUAUAACAAUGAAGUGCAUGGCAAACAAAAAACCUAACAGUUUAAUUCAAGCACAGAAGUUUCACCAACCAGAAGAAGUGAUUAACACACUUUAACAUAACCACUCGUACACUAUGAUAUCAAAGAUUUAACUUUGCCAAUACCUAACAGAGCGUAGCUUCGCUUGCAACAAUGAAACAGAAAUGCAUUGUUCAUCAACAAUAUAACGAACUAACAACACUUUAUCUUAGAAGGGGAUUUAACACACAUAAAAAUCAACGAGGAAGCCAGAUAUAUUUAAAGAAUAGAAAGUGAAGCCGCCACAUAUUCUAUUCCAACCAGAAACUGUAGCAAUGUCACAACAAUGAACACCUCAACAGGCUAUCCAAAGAUAACCGAUUGAUUUCGGGAGAAAAAAGGUAACCGACUGUGCUGAACCUUAUGGUAGGAAACAGAUUGAUUUCGGGAGAAAAAGAUGACAAGAAAUGUACCAUCAUGGUUGUGCUUUGGGCUCGUAAGGAGCUCAUUUUCAUGUGCUGUGUAUGCCUCCUCCAUCUGGCAGGUGCAGCAAAGCCACCGACGCAUCUUGUCUCUCUUCCUCAAAUGUAAAUCGUGAUCGUGUUCGUGUUCAUCCCCUGGUUUCUCCAAGUGUACAAAGCAGGCAGGAGAAGGCGUAUGCGACUGUUCAGAAAAAUAUUAACACCCAUUAUAUCACCAUACGAAAUCAACUUAGUAAUCAUAACCAUCCUAUGAUCAAAUCUAAUCACAAAUCUCAACGAACAAUCAAACAAUUCAACCAGCCAAGGGGGCUGGAUUAUGAUGAAUGGAUAGAACAAUUGGGAUGAUGAAAUCACAUCCUGAAGACUCCAUUUCGCAUUUGCAAUCACAAUCACAAUCAAAUCAGCCAAGUCAGCGAAUUGAAUUGAAUUAAAUGCAUCCUUGAGAAUCAAUCCAAUCAAAAGCAACAAAAACUGAAUCGAGAUCAAUACCAAUUUCAAAACACGGAAGCCAAAUACAAAGUCCUCGCCACGAGAUUAUGAGAAUUGUAAUCCUUCCCCUCCAUCAAAAGAAGAAAAUAAACAGAGAAGGGGAGGGAGAGGGGAGACGCGUCGGUAGCUGAGCCGAUGGCAAACAAAAGAAAAAUAAUGGCGGGGUGGGGGAGGGGGAAAGGAAAGAGACGAGGAUUUGGAGAAGGGAGUGGACAGAAUUAAGAGGCGGUAAAACAGAAGCGAGAACCAUUAGAUCGCAACCGAAAUGGUGGGGAAGACGAAGAACCAUUCGAUAGAAACAGAUUGAGAGAGAGAUGGGAAAAGGGUUGAUUACCUGUAGAGCUGAUAGCUUCUGGGCGUUUGAUUCUUUUUGUCUCUCAGAGAGAAAUUCGGUUGCUUUGUUUCUUAUUGUUCAGUGAAAAGUGGAAGGGCUGCCUGGAUUGGAUUCGUUGGAAUUUGUCUGUAAAUAGAAAACGCCGGAAGAGAGAGAAACACGGCUAAUUGUAUGAGAGAGAGAGAGAGACAACGGGGGACCGAAUCUGUAAUUUCCACCGGAUAUGUCAAAAUAUUGCAAACUUAUCAUUCAAAGUAUUUCUAUUGCAGUAAAAAUCACUAACCUAUUUUUAAAGUUGCACUCCACUAUUUUCGUUAGUUUUUCGUCAGAACAGGAUUGUGACCGCGCGCACCUUUUAUUUAAUUCAAACACUCCCCAUAUUAACAGAGAACAUAACGAUAGGUCAAUUUUAUAGAUGAUGUAGUGCUCUUUAGGAAUAAUAUUAUUUUGAAGUCAUCGGUUUUCGUUAGAUGUUGGAUGAUCGACGCUAAAUUUAUUUAUCGGGAAAGCAACCAUACUCUAUCAUAGAUUUCUUAAGUGGCAUAUGUCAUUGUUUACUUAUUUGUGUUUAUUAUAUUUUUUGUUUCUAAUCCAGGAGCAGAUCAGAGGGGGAAUUAUUAUAUUUUUGUUUCUAAUCCAGGAGCAGAUCAGAGGGGGUGCUCGAAAAUUAAUGUAUAUUGGCCAUUUCGGUCCGAAGUAGUAAAUUCAUGUAAAUAUUUAUGAUUAUUUUGAAUUUGGCUCAUGGAAAAUUUUAGAUCAAGUUCAGUUUUUUGUUGUUUCGACUCGGUACUUGAUACAUAUCAAUCAUACUUUCGACUCAAUACUCACAUUUACUAUUAUUUGGUUAGGAAAAUAAAUCGUAUUGCGGGCACAUUCAAUCUUUUAACUAAAAACAACACAAUAAAUGUUUUUUUUUAUAUUUGAACUUUGUAUUAUGUUAAAUAAAUCUAUUCGUAAAUUAAUUACUCAAUACACAAAUUUUCAAUUCGAAUCAGGCUACAUUUUGAUUUUGCGCCAUUGUUCUAAUCCUAUAUUGUUCCUUCACACUUUGAAAUAAUUUGAAUGCUGGAGAGAUGAUAAAAACAAAGACUUGAUAUAAAAACAAGACCGGAACCAACGACGAAAGGCCAAGUUAUCUUAAGCAAAGACCGACGACGACGACGACGACUAACAGAAACCAAAAAUCUUCCCCAAGUCUAUGGCUUUAAAUUGCAGAGGCCACUCAGUGAAAGUUCCCCAUCCCAUUGCACACUUGUGAGUUAAACCUCCCAAACAUAUCUCUCUCUCAAAUCUCUACUUCUCCAUUUUACGACAUGUCGAGUCCUGAAGAGUACCAGGUUUUCUUGAGCUUCAGAGGCCUUGAUGUCCGCCGAACAUUUGCUGACCAUCUCCGCACUUGCCUUGUUCGUUCCAAAAUUCGCACAUUUGCCAACGACGAAGAGCUCCCAAAGGGGGAAGCCAUCGGUCCGUCCCUUGUCAAAGCUAUAACCGAGUCCAAGAUCCUCAUCGUGGUCUUAUCCGAGAACUAUGCUUUCAGCAAAUGGUGCCUCCGGGAGCUAGCUACGGUGGUCGAUUCCUACAAGACUGGAGGAGGAAAACAGAUUAUCCUACCUGUUUUCUACGGCAUUGAUCCGAAAGACGUCCGGCAUCUAGAUUCGGGUCCUUACAAGAAAGCAUUUGAACAACACAGCCUGAAGCAUGAUCCUGAGACUGUAAUGAAAUGGAAGGAAGCACUGGGAGAGGUUGGCAGGACGAAAGGAUGGCUCGUCACUGAAUCGCAUGGGUAACUAUUAAUAUGAUCUUAAUUAUAAAAAAAAACUAUUAACAUGAUCUCUACUACUUAUCCGUACAUGACUUUGUUACGUACUUACAUGUCUAAUUGAUCAGUACUACAUAGCUAAGUAUAAGAUUAGCAUAUGCGCUUAUAAUAAUCUCCCGGACCCUCUCUCCUCGCACGUUAGCUGCUUGCAGAGAUGAGUUUUAGCCAAGGAGUUGUAACAGAUUUGUUCAUCAGGAUUUUAUUAUUUAUCCUAACAUCAAUUAGGUUAAUUUGAGGGCUUAGUUUGUUUUCAUGGUUUGUAUCCGUUUUCCAGUCAGGGGGCUAUAAUAGACCAUAUCCUUACUGAAGUGUUGUCACAUCUGAAGGCGACUGUGGCAGAAGCAUCAGUGGCCGGCCAGCAGCCUUGAGGUUUGUCAUCUUUGAAAAGCCUCUUUAGUUAGUUAGUUAUUACAAUCCAGAAUUGCUCUCUUUCAGUCUUAUUCUAAUUUCCUUUCUCAGGCCACUUGGCGAAGGAGGUCCCGGAAAUCUCGAAACUGAAGAGUUAGUCUCAGACAGCUUUUCAUGAUAUGAGAUUCGCUACCGAAGAAGAAGCACACCCUUUACCAUAUUUCGCGAUGGUCAUUGACCAUUCUAUCUGUUUUUUUACGUUUUAUGAUAUGGUUGAUGAUAUGAUUUUAUCAUAUCUUUUGUACUUUAAUUUCAAAAUCUGUUGGAUUGUUGCAGUUGGUGUUCGUAUGUUAUUGAAAGUUGAAUACUUCUCUCAAGUUUCUAUCAAUGGCGCCAUCAAUUGAAGUUAAAGGUUUUACACUUUUACUCCAACGUGGCAAGUUCGAAUGGGCAAAACGACCCAAAUUCUAGGGACAAAAGGGGUAUUUCGCAUCUCCCUCCAGCCCAGACACCGGCGCCGGCUGCCGGCCACCCUACCAAAAACAAUCCAAACCAAAUUCUUUAAACACCAGCAACCAAAACCAGCUCCUCCAUUUUCCCAAAUCUACAAACAACAUACCAAUUUGAUUCUCUACAUAGAUCAAGAACAAUCAAAUACAGCCCAUCUCAUAGUAAAUUCCUUUAUAGCACAUCAAACGACAAACUCUGCAACGGGUUCCACAACAUUAUUACACAUCACCCCACAUAUUCCUUUAGGCACAUCCUUCAGCUUACCUUCCAUUCCCUUCUAUCUUUCUCCUUUCAGGAUUCUGGGGCAGCAGCAACGGCAGAAGGGACUUGAGAUUUUAGCAGUGGCUGCAAAGCCUUCACAACGAUGCUCAUGUUUGGCCGAAACUCUGAUUCGUACUGCACGCACAAUGCCGCCACUGCUGCCAACUGCAGACAAAUACCCCCAAUUUAUAUUAUGUAAAUGAGCUGUCAGGCGUAACUAUAACACUCUAUUGACAAAGAAAGCACAUACCUUGGCGACUCCUUUAGGUGGGUACUCUCCUUUCAGCUUCGGGUCCACACAUUGCUUCACUUUGUCUUCACUUAAUCUUGGAGUAGCCUGACAAAAGCAUACAAAAUCAUUGCAACUCAGCUGAACAAAAGAAUGUUUGUACAAAAAGGCAACGGCAGAUGAACAAAGCCUUACCCAGGUGACUAAACUUUGUUGACCUCGGGGCAUGGUAUGAUCGACUGGUUUCCUUCCAGUGAGAAGUUCGAGGAGAACCACCCCGAAGCUGUAAACAUCACUCUUCUGUGUCAAUUGUCCAGUCAUUGCAUACCUACACGAAAGAUGAAGUACCAUAUAAAUCUCCAAACUAUAUAACACGUGGGUGAAAACUCCAGCUAAUACAACCAACCACAAACAAUAACCAACUGUGAGACAAAAAUCUAUGGAUAUGCUCCCCUACUACGUCGGAUAUGAUUACCAUUCAAUAUAACAAAAUCAAGGAAAAGGGUAACCAUUACUCUGGAGCAUGAUAACCGAAAGUCCCUAGAACGCGAGUAGAAUGCAGGCGUGCAGCCAUGUCAGGGGCCUGGUUCGAUAGGUUGAAAUCUGCAAUCUUAGCUUUGAAAUCCUCAAAUAGAAGCACAUUGCUUGAUCUGACAUCUCUGUGUAUUAUAGAAGGCUGAACCUUCUCAUGCAAGUAUUCCAAACCCCUUGCAGCAUCAACUGCAAUUCUGACUCGCUGUAUCCAGUCCAGCACCGGACCAGGUUGUGCCCCUUGGACCCCCUUUCGACCUGUUAAUCGACUCAUAACUCAUAAGGCAUGCCAAUUCAAAUAUGCAAGAUAGAAAAAAAAUCCUCAUUAGUUCUAUCUCAAAUAGAGAAGAUAAAAUGUGAUACCAUGUAAUAUGUCAUGAAGGGAUCCCAUUGUUGCAAACUCAUAAGCAAGCACCCUAAGAUUUCCCGCAACACAAUAGCCUUGCAAUUCCACAAAAUUUUCAUGUUUCAAUCUUGACACCAUUGAAACCUGGAACACAGUUGAAGAAAACCAAUAUCGAAUAUUAAUAAUAUAAGCAUAAUGUCCAGUGAAAAUCAUCUAAAGGUGAAGGAAGAUAGAGUACAACAAUGAACUAUGUACAAAAACUGAAUUAGACAGAAUAGUCCAUAUAAACUGCCCAUUAAUUUCAUUAACUCAAAAGCUACCUGGGUCAAAAAUUCGUUAUUUGUUUCUGGCUCACUUGACACGUCAAGUUUCUUCACAGCCACGGAUUUUCCAUUAUCUAAGGUUGCGAAAUACACUCUGCCGUAAGAUCCUUCACCGAUUAGUGCCUUCGAUCCAAAAUUAUCAGUUUUCUCUUUCAUUUCAUCUAACGACAGAGCAGGCACUUGAAUCGGCGGUACUUCCUUAUGUACUUCAGGUUUGACAAGGGCUGAUGCAUUUGAGCCUUUUGGGUGCCCUGUCCAACAAAGAUAGUAAGACAGGAUGAUUGUCACAGGGUAGUCACAAUCCAGGAAAUGAAGUUAACACAACACAUUAAGUUUUAAUGGAUUGAUAAUAUAGAAAAUAAGAAAUCCACAUGGACCACU
Molecule: long non-coding RNA, 6466 nt
Filed under: Linum usitatissimum (flax)
Lineage: Eukaryota; Viridiplantae; Streptophyta; Magnoliopsida; Malpighiales; Linaceae
Description: long non-coding RNA (LUSI_LNC003126)
Source: RNAcentral